RNAcentral lists this ribosomal RNA (693 nucleotides) under uncultured bacterium. Its description in RNAcentral is "bacterial SSU rRNA". It matches the Rfam family "Bacterial small subunit ribosomal RNA", at positions 141 to 850 of the family's 1533-position model. The record is from RNAcentral.
GGAUAACGUUUGGAAACGAACGCUAAUACCGCAUGAUAUUAUUGAGCUGCAUGGCUUGAUAAUCAAAGGAGCAGUCCGCUGAAAGAUGGGCUCGCGUCCGAUUAGGUAGUUGGCGGGGCAACGGCCCACCAAGCCGACGAUCGGUAGCCGGACUGAGAGGUUGAACGGCCACAUUGGGACUGAGACACGGCCCAGACUCCUACGGGAGGCAGCAGUGAGGGAUAUUGGUCAAUGGGGGAAACCCUGAACCAGCAACGCCGCGUGAGGGAAGACGGUUUUCGGAUUGUAAACCUCUGUCCUCUGUGAAGAUAAUGACGGUAGCAGAGGAGGAAGCUCCGGCUAACUACGUGCCAGCAGCCGCGGUAAUACGUAGGGAGCAAGCGUUGUCCGGAUUUACUGGGUGUAAAGGGUGCGUAGGCGGCUUUGCAAGUCAGAAGUGAAAUCCAUGGGCUUAACCCAUGAACUGCUUUUGAAACUGCAGAGCUUGAGUGGAGUAGAGGUAGGCGGAAUUCCCGGUGUAGCGGUGAAAUGCGUAGAGAUCGGGAGGAACACCAGUGGCGAAGGCGGCCUGCUGGGCUCUAACUGACGCUGAGGCACGAAAGCGUGGGUAGCAAACAGGAUUAGAUACCCUGGUAGUCCACGCUGUAAACGAUGAUUACUAGGUGUGGGUGGACUGACCCCAUCCGUGCCGGA